This is a small nucleolar RNA of Sorex fumeus (smoky shrew), 133 nucleotides long. RefSeq annotates it as small nucleolar RNA SNORA51. The transcript has a single exon. NCBI's taxonomy places the organism in Eukaryota, Metazoa, Chordata, Mammalia, Eulipotyphla, Soricidae. The record is from RefSeq and is a predicted model, not a curated record.
CUAUUUUUAAAAAAUUAAAGUCUACUGUGUUCUUUACACUAACUAUAUAGAAAGAGGAGUAAUAGUAAUCCCACCCCAAAUACAACCCAGUCUAGGCCCUCUGACUGGUCUAUAUUGUGAAUGGGGAACAUGG